CGGUGCUACAUGUCAAACUAUACUUAACACUUCAUAAAAAUAACUUGAAGUGUCUCUUUUUAUUUGAACAAAUUAAGGAAUUUUACUAUAAGAAUAAUUCACAAACGAAUAAAGAAAUAUAUGAUUAUUGGACCGAAUUCAAGAAGAAUCCCCUUGAGAAUAUGAUGUUCAAAAACAGGCAUCCAAGAGACAACAACAACACAAGGCAGCACAGCAUCCUUUCCAGAAGCCAUCACCCUUGGACUUGGUUUCUACAGGUCCAUGAUGGGCAGAAGCAGGAUUUGGAGCAUAUCUUGUGGGAUAACCAGCAGGUGGCGGAGCCUGCACGUAAGAAGGUCCCGGUGCCGGUGCUGUCGAAAAGGUUGGGGAUGAGGGUAUGCUGCUGCUGCUGGUGAAAUAGUCGACGAUCCCAUCUUAGUUGAAAAAUAAGAUAAGUAAUUGUAGUCUGGGUUUG
This 454-nucleotide long non-coding RNA is filed under the name Prunus dulcis (almond). RNAcentral's name for it is "sRNA ncRNA". Lineage: Eukaryota; Viridiplantae; Streptophyta; Magnoliopsida; Rosales; Rosaceae. The record is from RNAcentral.